RNAcentral lists this ribosomal RNA (680 nucleotides) under Pseudomonas oryzihabitans. RNAcentral's name for it is "bacterial SSU rRNA". It matches the Rfam family "Bacterial small subunit ribosomal RNA", at positions 396 to 1060 of the family's 1533-position model. The record is from RNAcentral. Lineage: Bacteria; Pseudomonadati; Pseudomonadota; Gammaproteobacteria; Pseudomonadales; Pseudomonadaceae.
GCCGCGUGUGUGAAGAAGGCCUUCGGGUCGUAAAGCACUUUAAGUUGGGAGGAAGGUCUCAUAGCGAAUACCUGUGAGUUUUGACGUUUCCAACAGAAUAAGCACCGGCCAACUUCUUGCCAGCAGCCGCGGUAAUACGAAGGGUGCAAGCGUUAAUCGGAAUUACUGGGCGUAAAGCGCGCGUAGGUGGCUUGAUAAGUUGGAUGUGAAAUCCCCGGGCUCAACCUGGGAACUGCAUCCAAAACUGGCUGGCUAGAGUGGGGGAGAGGGUUGUGGAAUUUCCAGUGUAACGGGGAAAUGCGUAGAUAUUGGAAGGAAAACCAGUGGCGAAAGCGACUACCUGGACUGACACUCACACUCUAGGUGCGAAAGCGUGGGGAGCAAACAGGAUUAGAUACCCUGGUAGUCCACGCCCGUAAACGAUGUCAACUAAGCCGUUGGGAUCCUUGAGAUCUUAGUGGCACAUCUCGCGCAUUAAGUUGACCGCCUGGGAGAACACGGCGCAAGCGGUUAUAACUCAAAUAUAAUUGACACGGGGCCGCGCAAAAGCGGUGAGAACGUGUGUUUUAUUUCAACAAGCGCAAAACUCUUACUGUGCUCUACAUGCUCUAGAACUUUCCAGAUAUGGAUUGGCGCCUUCGGGAACUCAUACACACGGGCUGCACGGGUCUCUUGUAGCA